RNAcentral lists this ribosomal RNA (619 nucleotides) under uncultured bacterium. RNAcentral's name for it is "bacterial SSU rRNA". It matches the Rfam family "Bacterial small subunit ribosomal RNA", at positions 338 to 951 of the family's 1533-position model. The record is from RNAcentral.
CCUACGGGAGGCAGCAGUGGGGAAUUUUGGACAAUGGGCGCAAGCCUGAUCCAGCAAUGCCGCGUGCAGGAUGAAGGCCUUCGGGUUGUAAACUGCUUUUGUACGGAGCGAAACGGUCUGCUUUAAUACAGUAGGCUAAUGACGGUACCGUAAGAAUAAGCACCGGCUAACUACGUGCCAGCAGCCGCGGUAAUACGUAGGGUGCGAGCGUUAAUCGGAAUUACUGGGCGUAAAGCGUGCGCAGGCGGUUAUAUAAGACAGAUGUGAAAUCCCCGGGCUCAACCUGGGACCUGCAUUUGUGACUGUAUAGCUAGAGUACGGUAGAGGGGGAUGGAAUUCCGCGUGUAGCAGUGAAAUGCGUAGAUAUGCGGAGGAACACCGAUGGCGAAGGCAAUCCCCUGGACCUGUACUGACGCUCAUGCACGAAAGCGUGGGGAGCAAACAGGAUUAGAUACCCUGGUAGUCCACGCCCUAAACGAUGUCAACUGGUUGUUGGGUCUUCACUGACUCAGUAACGAAGCUAACGCGUGAAGUUGACCGCCUGGGGAGUACGGCCGCAAGGUUGAAACUCAAAUGAAUUGACCGGNUGAGACGNGCGAGGCGACGACGAGGGAGGAGG